GAAGGCUAGGCUAGCGCAGCGUUGGUUGUCUGCGUUCAAGCUGGUAGGCUGGGGGAUUAGGUAAAUCCGGUCCCCUAAGGCCGAGAAGCGAUAACGAGUUCUUUCGAAAGAUCGAGCGAAGUAGUCGAUGCCAUGCUUCCAAGAAAAUCUUCUAAGCUUCAGCUGCAAUGUAAUCGUACCCCAAACCGACACAGGUGGUCAGGUAGAGAAUACCAAGGCGCUUGAGAGAACUCGGGUGAAGGAACUAGGCAAAAUGGUACCGUAACUUCGGGAGAAGGUACGCCGGUUUUGGUGAUGGGACUUGCUCCCUAAGCUGAGGCCGGCCGCAGUGACCAGGUGGCUGCAACUGUUUACUAAAAACAUAGCACUCUGCAAACACGUAAGUGGACGUAUAGGGUGUGACGCCUGCCCGGUGCCGGAAGGUUAAUUGAUGGGGUUAGCUUCGGCGAAGCUCUUGAUCGAAGCCCCGGUAAACGGCGGCCGUAACUAUAACGGUCCUAAGGUAGCGAAAUUCCUUGUCGGGUAAGUUCCGACCUGCACGAAUGGCGUAAUGAUGGCCACACUGUCUCCACCCGAGACUCAGUGAAAUUGAAAUCGCGGUCAAGAUGCCGUGUACCCGCAGCUAGACGGAAAGACCCCGUGAACCUUUACUAUAGCUUGGCACUGGACUCUGAAAUAAUUUGUGUAGGAUAGCUGGGAGGCUUUGAAACUGUGACGCUAGUUGCAGUGGAGCCAACCUUGAAAUACCAGCCUGAUUAUUUUGGGGUUCUAACUUAGGUCCAUUAUCUGGAUCAAGGACAGUGUCUGGUGGGUAGUUUGACUGGGGCGGUCUCCUCCCAAAGAGUAACGGAGGAGCACGAAGGUACGCUAAUCAUGGUCGGAAAUCAUGAGGUUAGUGCAAAGGCAUAAGCGUGCUUGACUGCGAGACUGACAAGUCGAGCAGGUACGAAAGUAGGUCUUAGUGAUCCGGCGAUUCUGUAUGGAAGGGUCGUCGCUCAACGGAUAAAAGGUACUCCGGGGAUAACAGGCUGAUACCGCCCAAGAGUUCACAUCGACGGCGGUGUUUGGCACCUCGAUGUCGGCUCAUCACAUCCUGGGGCUGAAGCCGGUCCCAAGGGUAUGGCUGUUCGCCAUUUAAAGUGGUACGCGAGCUGGGUUUAGAACGUCGUGAGACAGUUCGGUCCCUAUCUGCUGUGGGCGUUGGAGACUUGAGGAGAGCUGCUCCUAGUACGAGAGGACCGGAGUGGACGAACCCCUGGUGUUCCGGUUGUGUCGCCAGACGCAUUGCCGGGUAGCUACGUUCGGACAGGAUAACCGCUGAAAGCAUCUAAGCGGGAAGCCCCCUCCAAGAUUAGGUCUCCCUGAGGGUUUAACCCUCCUGAAGGGCCGUGGAAGACUACCACGUUGAUAGGCUAGGUGUGGAAGCGCUGUGAGGCGUGAAGCUAACUAGUACUAAUUGCCCGUGCGGCUUGACUAU
This 1477-nucleotide ribosomal RNA is filed under the name bacterium. Its description in RNAcentral is "partial 23S ribosomal RNA". It matches the Rfam family "Bacterial large subunit ribosomal RNA", at positions 1477 to 2925 of the family's 2925-position model. The record is from RNAcentral.